UGAGGAACAUGACCUUCGGCGGGGGAUAGCCGGCCCAACGGCCGGGUAAUACCGCGUACGACCACAUGGGGACAUCCCUGAGUGGUGAAAGCAGCAAUGCGCCGAUGGAGUGCCUCGCGGCCUAUCAGCUAGUUGGUGAGGUAACGGCUCACCAAGGCAACGAUGCGUAGCCGACCUGAGAGGGUGAUCGGCCACAUUGGAACUGAGACACGGUCCAGACCUCGUACGGGAGG
RNAcentral lists this ribosomal RNA (233 nucleotides) under uncultured bacterium. RNAcentral describes it as "partial 16S ribosomal RNA". It matches the Rfam family "Bacterial small subunit ribosomal RNA", at positions 118 to 347 of the family's 1533-position model. The record is from RNAcentral.